Molecule: long non-coding RNA, 2815 nt
Organism: Myotis daubentonii (Daubenton's bat)
Lineage: Eukaryota; Metazoa; Chordata; Mammalia; Chiroptera; Vespertilionidae
Gene: DPCD
Exons: 2
Source: RefSeq, a predicted model, not a curated record
GCCCAGGUGUGUCAUCAGCUGCCCACUGGGGAGAGAGAAGGGCAGAGGAUGAGCCACUAUCCCACCUUGGCCCACACAGAUUCUUUGAACCUCCAAAUGGUUUCAGUCCCUAAGGAAAUGCAGCUCUCCUUCCUGAGCUAGAAUUAGACUCCCUUAGGAAGGGGGGCUGAGGGAGGAGAUGCCCCAGACUCCCUUCCCUCCCACCCCAGUCCCUCCCCCCAGCUAAAGGCCUCAAUCAAUCACCAUCAGCCCCUCCAUCACACCUGCACACUGGCCACCCGCCACCCAGCCUCUCCUCCGCUGGAGGAUGAAUGGGCCUUGCUGAAGGGGUUGCCCCUCACACCACACACACACACACACACACACACAGUUACUUUAUACUCCUUGAUCCUGCAGGUCAUGCAGUUCUGAGCUGCCUGAGUCCAAUGCCUUAAUUCCCGCCUGUAAUCUGGGGCUCAAACCUCAUUGGGGAUAAAGACCACACAAAGGGAGAAGGGGAGUCCCAGGAGAUGUUAAAACAAGUAAACACCUUUGUGUCUGGGGACAGAAAUCGCUGAGAAAGCAGCUUAGCGGGCUGGUCCCUGGUGUUCCUGGCCAGGCUGGCCCCCAGCCCGGGGCGAGCACGCCUCUGUGAUCACAGCCCCCAGCCUGCUGGGCUCCAGCUUGCUCCCCCACCCUCGCCCCUCCCGGUGGCCAAGAGCAGAUUACUGAGAAGAACAAUUUCUUUGUGACUGUGUAAUUCCCUCCGUGACCGCGGCAGUGGGCAGACCCCUCGCCUGAUGCCAGACCCCUAGCAACCAUGUAGGGGGGCCUCCUGGCCCUAGCAACUACCCCUCAACAUCAAGUGCACCCGCUAAUCCCCAAGGCUAGGGGACGGGUAGGAGCAGUGAGUUUGCAGAAUGACUGGGGGAAAUGAAGGAGAAGAGGGGCACCCUCCAGACCCCAUUCCUCAGCUUCAACCAAAAGACGCUGGGCUCUCGGAUACGUCCCAGGGACUCACAGGUAAGAGGCUGGGCAUGGAGCGGGAGGACUUCGUGGUCGCACCAGCCCGGCUUUGGCCCAAACAGUGUUAAUCAAAGGGCUUAAGGCUGAUGGGGCUGCCAGUCACAUGUGUGAAUGUGGCCCUCAGCUCUAGUCCUUCCACCUCACACAGAUGCUGCCCCUCUUCCUUCCUUCUCCCCACUGGAGCCACCAUCUUCCCUGAAGGCUGAAGGAGUAAAGGAGGAGGCUGCGGGCUCUUCUCUGCCCACUCUGCCUUUCCCCUGGAGCCCUGCACAGAGACAUGACCCCCAGCAAGCCUCCCCAUCACCCGCCAGCGGAGGGGCUCCUUCCCCAGCCCCGUUCAGAUGCAAGAAGUUGCCAGUAGCACGAGUUCGGCAGAAUGAGCCAUGGGAAUAACCUUCACAGACUGCAGGAACUCCAACAUCCCAGGGGCUACAAACAAAGGAGUCCUUGGAAGUUUUAGCUACGCUGGCAACAGUGUGAUACAAUCAGCUAUAACAACAAAAGUAGAAGAUUUGGAAUAAGGGAAAUGAUAGCACCCACCACUCAGCCCACACCUGCUAUGUUCAGUACUCAGUUAUGAACACCCCAUUUUAAGGGGAAUUAAACCAGAUAAAUCAGAGAAACUUUCAGGUAAGAAUGGUCCUAAAACAGGCGUGAGACCAACACUCGAAGAUUACUCAACCUUCAAGGUAUCUUGUACCCAUUCUCAUUUGGGCUCUUUGCUAUUCCUCUCUUUCUUGCUGACCAAACCCUGCUUAUGUGCCUUCCUCCUCCUCCCCCACCGCCAACGUGCAUGGUGGGAAGCUGAGCUCUUCCCCAGGCCUAGAGGUGAAUCUGGACUGGUCAUUCCAUUUCCCAUGACAGAGUUUGAUUCAGGGUGAGUGCUAGAAUACACCUUUGGCUCACUAAAUACAACAAGCUGGCUUGGGGGCUCCUAGGAAGGGCUUCCUCAUCUUAAAAAGGGGCCCCAGGCAAGUACAUGUCUUCUUCCUUCCUUCUUCCCUUUGGGUGUUGCCUUAUGAGUUGGAAGACCUUUAGUAAACAAACCUGUGGGCAAGGGCAAAAGCCACCUUGACGGGUGGCAAAACAGAGAGCAGAAGAGAAAAUGGGCCUCAUGGUCUCAUUGAACCACUGAACCCCUCAAUCCUGGAACCAGCUCACUAGCCAACUUCUGGACUCCUGGUCAUGUAAGACAAUAAUAAUAAUUCCUCUAUUGUCUGAGCCACUUUGAAUUAGGUCUUCAUUACUUACAGACAAAAGCACCCAACUGAUCUAUUAUGUUUAUGAGCAACAACUAAAGAGUCUUGGACUUUUGGCCGACAAAGAAGAAGACCCUGGAGGAGCAAGACCAAAGGUUUCUGAAAUCUAAAGGCCUGUCUUCAGAGGAGAGGUUCAACUUGCUUCGUGUCGGGAUCACACCUCCAGGAAGCAGAUCAACCCUCGAUGACGGGAGGCACUCUAAGUCUCAGAGCUGGCCAAGGAUGUAAUGUGGUAUUUGGUGAAGUUGCGAGUUUCCUACCCCUGCAGCUGGAUGAUCAUUAAGAGAAUGUUGUAGAGAAAACCUUAUUUAAUUAUCAUGUGUUAUAAAAAAUAUUUUACAAAGACUGACAACACAAUGGAUACUACAGGAAAAAAGAUAUGGCUAAGACUUUUCUGGGAAGAUGGAGACAAAAGAAGACAAGCUAGAGCAACUGAGGCAAGGGAAAGGCAAGAUGAGCACAUCCUCAUUGCUCAUUAUGGCAUUGAAGCCAGAUUGUAGGUGCUUAGGCCGAGGUGAAGAGUUCUUAGACUUGACGGGGAAAAAAAAGAA